This 279-nucleotide ribosomal RNA is filed under the name uncultured bacterium. Its description in RNAcentral is "partial 16S ribosomal RNA". It matches the Rfam family "Bacterial small subunit ribosomal RNA", at positions 506 to 784 of the family's 1533-position model. The record is from RNAcentral.
UGCCAGCCGCCGCGGUAAUACGGAAGGUCCUAGCGUUGUUCGGAAUUACUGGGCAUAAAGCGCAUGUAGGCGGAACAGAAAGUUAGAAGUGAAAUCCCUGGGCUCAACCUAGGAAUUGCUCUUAAAACUACUGUUCUGGAAUUCAGGAGAGGAAAAUGGAAUAACCAGUGUAGAGGUGAAAUUCGUAGAUAUUGGAUGGAACACCAGUGGCGAAGGCGAUUUUCUGGACUGAUAUUGACGCUGAGAUGCGAAGGCAUGGGUAGCAAACGGGAUUAGAUA